This is a non-coding RNA of Equus caballus (horse), 3584 nucleotides long. The record is from RefSeq and is a predicted model, not a curated record. Lineage: Eukaryota; Metazoa; Chordata; Mammalia; Perissodactyla; Equidae.
UGACGAGUGGUGUAGGUCUGUGCUGGGGAAACCGGGCUGCUGAAGCAGAGCUGGCAAACUUAACCACUAUGCCACCGGGCCAGCUCCCUUGUCUACAUAGCUUUAAAGACUAAAGAUGCGUCCAAGCUUUCAAGGACACAGAACAGCAUGGAGAAUGAGCUGUGUUGAACAUAACCUCUAAACAAAGCAUGGAGAUAGAGAUCCCAAGAGAAGGGGGCACGCAGGGGCAUUGAAUGCCACGCCACGAAAGGCCAUAUGGAGAGGCACGAGGAUCCAUCAGGAUGCAGAGGGAGCAAGAGGAAGAUGUGAGCCCCAGCCUUUAUUGUGGUUUCCACGAGGCAGGGGCAAACCAGGGCUACAGGAAAAGGACAAAAGCAUCCGCAGACGUGAACACUGACUGACCUUCUACACCAGCACGUACACACAUGUGCACCUGCAAAGCUUGAGGUCGGCACAGCAGGUAAGUGUGUGCUAGCGAUGUGGUCACUUGAAGACGUGGUCACUAUAUCUGCACUAACCACUUUAGUCUCUGCUUCCUGCACACCCUUGGGUCCCCUGCAUUGUACGUAGGAGAACGUUUAAUGGAAGUCAUUUAUUCUGCACUGUCUGUAAAAAUGCAUUUCCCCAAGCGAGUUACUUCAUAGCUCAAUCUUGCUAUAGCACAGCAAGUACUCAUCAUUUUCAUAAGCACUGAUCCUACAUCCAUGCCUUACCACUAGAUCUGUCUUGCCCAGUAGUUUUAAAAGUGAAAUGUUUUGGCUUCUUUUUUUCCAUUGCAAGAAACUCUGACUCUAUGUUUUCAUGACUGCUUUUCUCAAAAACAUAUGAUUUUCACCUGAACCCAAGGGCUAUAUUCCCCUAACUUCCCGAUUGCUUCUUGCGCUCCAGCAUGAGAGUGGAAAUCUGAUGUAAGUCCAAUGACUAAGACCUGUCAACAAAGGAUGGACCUUCCUUAAGGAUUUUGAGAGUCAAUGUGCCAUGCAAGCAUAGCUAGGACAGAAGUUGGUAUUUACAAUACCCUCUGCCUCUGGAGAAGAUUCAGCCCAAGGACCACCCAUGGUUGGUUAAGAGGGGUGCUAAGUAGGAGGUUGCAAAUUGGAGAAGCAGAGAGGGUGAAAUUGUUCUACUAAGAAAAGGAAUAUGAAGAAGGGGAGAGCAUGACCCGGGAAGGGGGCGAAAGCUGAAACUGCACCAGGAAGGUUGCUCAAAAGAGGACUCGUGGGAGGAAAACUACUCGAAGGGAAGGCAGGCAGAGAAUUGCUUCAGGUCACUUCAGGGAGUUUUCCUGUGCAACACAUCCUUUGUUCUAAUUUCUCAUGAAAGCAUCAGUAAAAUCAACACUGCUUGUCUCCAUUUGUAGGACCGGAUUUGGCGUGUGGGUGGGAAAGCCCUGAGCCUGGCACGGAGUCAAAGGGAAGUCUUCUCACAUGUGGGUUUUCGAGAAGAUGGCUUUUCAGUGGUAGAUGGCAAACCAAAAUCAAACAAUGAAAUAGGACAGAAUUCCAGUCCAUCUGGCGCGGGCAAAGGAGAAGAUGCAGCAGGACAAUGGAUGUACAUAUGUUCUCUCUUUUCUUUUUCCGAAGAGAUCCCCCUUGGAAUAUUUUUGGACAAAUGUUCAGGUGUCACGGUCCCUCUGUGGGAGAGACCUUCAAAAGCCCAUUUUUCUCCACUCCAGCAAGCAAACGGCUUUAGGAAGAAGGGGAAGGAGGCAGGCUGGAGAGAGGAAGGGAAGGGAGUGUAGACAACCUGUCAGCGAAAUGCAUCAUCUUAGCUUGCAUUUGGUGUGAACACGUAUGUUAAUGCCCAUCUGCUGAGAAAAUCCACCAGAGAUUUUCGGUGUUUCCACGUGAUGAUAGGACCCAUGUUUCCAUUUCCUCCCAGCUGCCGGGAAGGGGCCCCGCUUCUAAGAGAAAAAAAAUCAAUGACGUCCCUUCGUUGCCUGGUGCACUAGCUCUAAUUUCUAGAGCUGAGGAUAAAAAUCACACCUCCGAGCACCAGGCCUUGGAGCGCACACCUGUGCCUGAAAUAGCCUCCUAAAUGGGGUAUUAGCGGUCUCAGCGCAAUUGCCUCUGCUGCCGUUGAGUGACUAAACAUCCUUGACAAAAUCACUUCCUUUCCUACCGUCACACUUUCUCCAACCAAGAAGAUAAUCUCCUUCCCUCCUUUCUGGAGGAAAAAUCAGCAGCCUUCUUCGCUGAAGUUAACCCUUUCACAUCUUCCCUGGACACCUUCGCUUUAUCUUGACAAAACUCAUGGUCUGUUUCAUUUCUUGAUUCUUGUUCUCCGGAAACUCUUAGCAUCACUUGAUGCUCUCAGACUCUCUUCACGGGAUGUCUAGGUACCUGUCCUGACUUUCCUCCACCUGUUUGACUGACCAGUUCUCUGUUUUCUUUGCUGGUUCCUUUUCCUCUUCUUGACCACAGACUUUGGGUAUCCCCAAAAGCUUUAUCCUUGACUUCUCUCUUCUUUUCCCUGAAUUCUUACCCUUUCUCCUACCAUUGGUCUACGUAUCACCUCUAACUGGAAAGCACUCAAAUUCUUAACUCCAGGCCUAAGAUAUCAUCACCAUAUGCCAAUCAGCUGUAAGGGCUUUUUCAUUCAAUUGUUCCACAGUCACCCCAAACUUAAUAUGUCUCAUGCAUAACCACAAAUACCUCCAAACCACAAGUAAGUCACUCUUCCCUUCGUCUCUAUCCCAUAAUGACAUCUCUUUUCCUCUUCUAAUCACAUGCAGCCAGAAAUCACCAAACCCUGUGCGUCUUGGUUUAACUUGCCCACCACUCUUGGCAUCCAUUCUUCUCUCCCACCGUGACCUCAGUCCUCCGCUCCAUCUCUCUGUCAGAUAAACCAUCCUAAAACUGUCUCCCAUUAAAUAGCAAGUCUGAUGGAGAAAGGACCUCUGGACUAAGUGGGUGUGCUGGUCACGGUAGUGUUGGCAGGGAACAGCAUCUUUAAAGAAGAGAAGGGGGCAGGCUAAAUCCCCAUGGCCCCCAGCAAGAAAGAUGAAGAAUACAGGAGCUCAUCACCCAGACCCGUGACCAGUCCAGGCGGAGGAGAGCUCUGCCUCCUUCCCUACCCAAUUCCUUUCUCUUGAAAGUGCUCUUUUGGUCCAUUAAGAUCCUCCCUGUACUUUAGAGCCAAAGCCAGUGCUCCUUCUCCUUUGUGAAUUCUUUCCCUACUAUGUCAGUUCCUUCUGCAACCCCUUUAGCAUCUCCUUGAUGUGAUCAAAUGUUGCCUGACAUUGACGUUUAACUGUUUCAGUUGAGCAUGUCUUAGAUCACCUUUCCUCCAGGCAUGAGGAAGAAUAUCCUCUGCUGUGUUCUAGAAAAAUUUUAAGGUGGCACGACUGAAUUAUCAAUGAUUGGAGGAAAGGAAUCAUAGCUUAUAAUGCCCUUGUGGUCUCAGUGCUCUGACAAAGAACCAUGCAUACAGUAGGCAAUUAAAGACAUUUAUUUAUUGAACAGCUACUUUGUUCCAGACACCAGUCUACAUAACGACAUACAAUGAACAAAAGAGACCAAAUUCCUACCCUAACAGAGUUAAUUUUUCAAUGAGAUGAGGAGGAAUAGAAGGAGAGUGGCAGA